This 218-nucleotide unclassified non-coding RNA is filed under the name plant metagenome. Its description in RNAcentral is "partial contains small subunit ribosomal RNA, internal transcribed spacer 1, and 5.8S ribosomal RNA". The stretch from base 1 to 53 matches the Rfam family "Eukaryotic small subunit ribosomal RNA", at positions 1778 to 1831 of the family's 1831-position model. The record is from RNAcentral.
GGAAGUAAAAUCGUAACAAGGUCUCCGUUGGUGAACCAGCGGAGGGAUCAUUACCGAGUGCAAACUCAUAACCCUUUGUGAACCUAUAUCUGUUGCUUCGGCGGCUCGCUCUCGGGCGAGCCCGCCGGUAAUAUCAGUAUCUCUGUUUGAACCCGACGAUACUUCUGAGUGUUCUUAGCGAACAGUUAAAACUUUUAACAACGGAUCUCUUGGCUCUA